This 253-nucleotide ribosomal RNA is filed under the name uncultured bacterium. RNAcentral's name for it is "partial 16S ribosomal RNA". It matches the Rfam family "Bacterial small subunit ribosomal RNA", at positions 524 to 776 of the family's 1533-position model. The record is from RNAcentral.
UACGGAGGGUGCGAGCGUUAAUCGGAAUUACUGGGCGUAAAGCGCGCGUAGGCGGCCUUGUAAGUCGGAUGUGAAAGCCCCGGGCUCAACCUGGGAAUGGCGUUCGAUACUGCUUGGCUAGAGUAUGGAAGAGGGAAGCGGAAUUCCGGGUGUAGCGGUGAAAUGCGUAGAUAUCCGGAGGAACACCAGUGGCGAAGGCGGCUUCCUGGGCCAAUACUGACGCUGAGGCGCGAAAGCGUGGGGAGCAAACAGG